UCUAAGCGACAAUUAAAAUUAAUAUAAUACUAAUAUUAUAUAAUAAAAAUACAAUAAUGAAAAUUAAUCACUUAAUGCAUAUUUUAUGUUUAUUGUGCCUCUACCAUGAAUAGACAAAAGAAAGGUCUUUUCUUUUGUAUAAUUGGAGUAACAUUAAAAUCUAAUCUUUAAAUCAGAUACAAUUUUCAUUUUUAAAACUUAUUUUGAGUUUGUUCGAUUAGUAUGGCGCGUAAUUUCUGAGUGUCGGAGUGUUUAAGUAGAUAAAGAAUACAAGAAUACGUAACUUUUCAACGUGUCAUAUAAAAAUAGAUAGUCUUUGUAAUACGAGUUAAACUUCGAAAAUGAUAGAAUUUCAGCCGACAUUUUCAUAACAAUAUUGAGCUAACAAUUUGCAGAAGAGUCUUAGGAGUCUUCUCGUAUGUAUGUAGCUUGGAAAUGCUUUUUAAUGCGAGAAGCCAAUGUGGAAAUAGGUAGUUUAUUCAAUUGAAAUAAUUUUUGCAUGAUAUGAUUAAUUCAUGUAGAAUCAUCUACACAUGACUUUGUUAGUGUUUAAGUAAUGGUAAUAGUAUUUUCACACACUUCGGUACUGAUCAUUCGUCCACUUGAUAGAUUUAUUUCAGGACAUGGAUAAAGUAUUAAAUUGCUAAUAAUUUCUAUUGAUAUUGCUUAGCUAAAGAGUGAAGAAGUAACAUCACACAUGAUGAGAUAAAAAAUGUUCUCAGAAUUAAAACAUUAAAACAUCCCAGAAUUAAAACAUUCCAGAAAAGUGAGUGCAAUAUCAAAGUUUAUUAUCCAUUUAAAUCUAGCCAGAUCUUAUUUCCUCAGAAUCUCAUUUCAAAAUAACCACCAGAUUACUUAAUGCUAGAUGUUUAGUAGUUGCAUAAAUAAUGACAACGUUUAAAUCGUUCUCUCUAAAUAAGAAUUUCAAUCUUCAAAGCAAAAUAAGACAUUUACGUAAGUCGAUCGAUGCGAAUCGCUCAGCGGUUCAUUUGAUGCAUUGGCGCGUAUCUGUUCUGAUCCGGAAAUGAUGAGAUCACGUGAUUUCGAUGGCAUUCUCCGUGACUGAUAGGAUUGCCUGCAAUGACGAUUAACAACUACUCACCGACCCAGUGGUUUUACGUAAUGUUAAGCCGUCCGGUCAGACAAUUGACAGAGAUUCUAAUUAACGUGCCUUCGCUAUGUAACACUCAAAUUUGCGUCAUUGUGGUUUCAAGUGGAAAUGCAGUUUCUUCAUACCUACUUUAAGUUUGUCGCGGAUUCGACAAUGCUGUUAAACGGCAUCGUGAAUUGCAGAUGUAGGCGACGCAAUGGUGAGAUUAGGCAGUGAUAACGACUGGUACAGUUCAAGAUAUUGCACGAGGCAAUGUAAAUUGUAUUCUUAUCAAAAGCCAUAAUUGAAAUAUGGAUAAUGUUCAACAAACUGGUUAUGACCGAAUGGCAAGAUUUAUGCAUUCAUGUAGAGUACGUAGAAACUUUCACUUAUUUUUUAUUUUCCGCGGUCCAAUUGGUUGUGACACCAGUGCUCUCAAACGCGUGAGUUUAUUUCGUUUUUUUGCCUUCUUUUAAUAACGCUGAGACAAUUGUCAAUCUUGUUUUCACAUUUUCUUUUUGCCGCAACGGUUAGCAAGAUUCCGAGAAUAUUCAAUAAUGUACGCCUUUCGAAAUUGAAUUUUAACAUUAUCAAUUGCAAUUGAUUGUCCACUGCGUCAAAAAGAUAUGUACUCAUAAGAGGUUUAGUAUUAAGAAUCCAAGUCGCACGAUAUUAAGGGGAUGCAUCCCCUAAAGAUUUAUUAAAAAAACUCAUUUGUUCCGUUGGUAAUACAGACGACUCCAGGAUUCCCUUAAUCUAAGAAGAGUUAUAUAGUUAACUUUCGAUCAAGUAAUUAAAGAUUUGGCUUUAUAUAAUUUAUUUCUGCUAUUUUUAUUUCAAGGUUCGAAUUAGCUUAUUAACAGUCCUGUUAUUUCUAUUCUUUCACGGAUCAACUCUUGGUGUGGGACAUUAAUCAGUAUUAUCGGAAAUAGUUGCGUUCACAAAGAUUGUUCCCACAUGAAAAUCAGUGAAACAAUUGAUUGAAUCGGAAAACAGUGACAAAAAAGGGAAUUUUUUAUAUCAUAAUUAUUCAUUAUUGUCUUGUGUAAUUUGAAAAAUCUCCUAAUUCCUUAUCAUACGUAAUUCAACAUCUCUUUUUACCAUCCUAACCUUGGAAAUAAAUAGGAAUGUUAAUGCAUAUGUCAUAUCUGUCUAUGAAUAAAGAUGUUUAUUUAUCGCGGUCGAGUUAGCAAAACGUUCGGUUCCGAUUUUAAUCAGUAUACGUAUAUUUUUGUUUUCCACUAAUAUAUUGUCUUUCAAGCCAUGUGAAAUAUCGUAAUUUCUUUUAUUCGUUUAAGAUUUGAUAUUUGACAUAAAGAUGAAUUUUUUUACGGAACUUAUUUCUCAGAAUUGCUUUCUGAUGAGGACAGUUCCAUUCGAAAAUAUCUUCUUGAAAGAAACUUGACGCAAAGAAAGAUCAACAUUUUAUAACAAAGUAUUAAAAUAUAAAAUUAUUCGAGUUGUGAAAGUAAUUUUAAAUCCAUUUUUAAUUUGAGUUGUUGUAACUUGAUUGUUAAGUUUACAUAGAAUUAAUAAAAAUAACAGGAAUUUAAGUAACAGUGCAAAAAAUAACAAAUCGAGAAAGUUUUAGUAAAAAUUUGGUUGUGACACCAACGCUCUCAAUCGCGUGAUUUUAUUUCGUUUUUUUGUUUUUUCUUUUAAUAACACUAAGACAAUAUUGUCGAUCUUUCUUUCACAUUUUCUUUUUAUACUGCAACAGUUAGCAAGAUCCCGAGAAUGUUCAAUAAUAUAUGUCUUUCGAAAUCCAUUUUAAUAUUAUCAAUUGCAAUUGAUUAAUUACUUUUUACAUUCGUUUAUUAGAAUGCAUCAAAUAAUAUUUUUGCUUAGACGAAUUCUAAGCUAUAAAAGCGAAUGAAAAUAUGCUAACCUUUGCGUCAGCUUGAUUAUGUUUCCUACUGCAUCAUAAAUGACACGUGGAUUUCUGUUGGCAUUAUGGACAUAAAUUAACCGGAUAUUAAACGAGAGCGAAUCUAUUAAAUUCGAAUCACAUUCAAGAUCUGCUCGAUUAGCAACUGUAAAUACCUUAGAAUACCGCAAGUAUCUACGCAUAGAUAUACAAUUUGAUUAUUAUACAGGAGUGCGUUUUAUGUGUUUUUGCAACUGAUUACAUGUAAAAAAGUUUUAAUUGAAUUUUCUUUAAUAUUAUUACGACUAACAACGCGAGCGCAUUUUACGCUGCUGCUAUCGAUACAAGAAAUUGUAAUGCUAUAUAUGUAUACUUCCAUUGAAUAUAACGAUUUGAUUAUCUACGCGAACGUCAUAAUAAUUAAUUAUCCGAGUAACUAUUUGUUAUUCGGAUGUAGUAUAUAUAUACUACUACAUAUAUUAAAAAACAGGAUAAAUAUAUAUAUAUAUAUAUAUAUUUGUCUUGCUUUUUUAGUGUUUUUAAUAAUAUGGAUUGUAACAUAUAUUCGUUAUUAAAAAUACUAAACAGACGGGACGAAUACAUGUUAUAACUAGAUUACCUAUAGAAUACAAAUGCUUUAUCAUUUUGAUUGUCAUUUCAUACAUAGCAUUCUUUUCCUUGUUAUCACAAACGAAACGGUAACAUCUAGUCUCGUACACCAACCGAUCAGCUCAAUCAUUAAAUCGAUUGUUGAAUAUAGUUUCAACCGAUUAUUGAAUGUUGCAAUAAGAUACCAUUCACGUAUCACCUACACAGUGAGUCAAGGAACUGAAAUAAAAAUAUUAGAAUUUUGAGUAUAGAAAAGUCAUUCAAGGAAGAGUUAUUUUAUUAUAAUUAAUUGUUUCUAAUGAUUACAGUAAUUAAAAAGUAAAAAUAAAAGUAAAAGUAUAAAAAGUAUAAAUGGAACCAUUAAUUGAUCGUGAACUAAUCAGACAUUUUUCAUUUAUCAUUAAUGAGGUAAGCAAUUACGGCAUAAUUGUAAAGAUAUAAUUGGCAGCUGGGUAGUUAUAUAGUCAAGUGUACAAAUUACUUCGGUGGCUUUUUAAAAGAAAUUAAACGUUAAUUUACAGAAAAAGAAAAUGUAUUUUAAUCUUCGAAAUAUUCGCCAUCAUUUUUGAUAACUUUCGACUAUUUUUUGUAUAAUUGACGAAUCUCCUCUCGAAAAAAUGAUGGUGGCUUUGAGUCGAUAAAAUCGUCGAUACAUUUGUGCAUCUCUUCUACGCUUUUAAAACAUGUAUCAGCCAGGUAAUAUUGCAGCGAUCAGAAAAUCAGAAUAGAUGCUAAUAUAAAAUAAUCCACAUGAGGGAGAAUUUCCCAGCCCACAAAUAACCGUUAUUGUACUGCAAGAUGACUUUCACUUUUACAAGUACCUUACACUUUUUAUAGGUUUUAUGCAUUACAGCAUCUUCUUCUAAAGCUGAACAAAUCACAUUUGCAGCGUCGGCAACAUUUUUUUCAAUUAGAAAGCAAGAAGAAUGCAUUGUCCGAUAUGCUGCUUAGCGGACGUCAUCGUAUUUGAUACUGUUUUGUGAAGUUAUGUUGUCAAUUUCUAAUUCCCGACUUUAUAUGAUAAGAUACACUUGACAUUCGAGUCGCGGCAUUCCAUUAUUAAAUUGUGUUUAAUGAUAGAGGAAAUAUCGAUAAAAUUCGCGUUUAGCGCUCUCUCUCUCUCUCUCUCUCUCUCUCUCUCUCUCUCUCUCUCGCUCGCUCGCUCGCUCGCUCGCGUAUUAAUCGUGCUUAUAAAAUGAGUAUGAUAUAAUAUAAUUAUCGCAAAGACACAAUUUCACGGAGCCUGCUGAUACGAGUGUCGCGACUUACAUAAUUAAUUAAUGAUGCGGGCGUGUGAAUAACCAACGCGAGACGAGUUUCAAUGACAACUUUUACAAUUGUUAAGUGGCUGCUACGUUAUAUUUUUUUGCGCUACAAGGCUAUUAUAGCGCUACGCAGAAUAGAUUUGCGACAUACACAUAGGAAAUUGAAUUACAGAAAUAAUGGUAUGGAAUAUUUUUCACUGGUGACUAUAAAUUCGCAUUUAAACUCUACGCACAAUAAUAUCGCACUCUUGCUUCAAAAGUGUCACAACUCAAAACUUACAACUUUUCACAAAGCACAGAAAAUUGUUUUUGAUCAUACUAACACAUUAUUAACUGCUAUCACUAAAAACGAUAGAACUUAAAAUACUAUAGUUUCAAACUUCCUAACAACGACCUGUUAACUAUGAGAUACACAACACAACUGAUAAUACAACACUAUUGUUACUGGCAACACAAUCUCACUCGGAAUAUUAAGAGAGACAUAACUGCCCUUUGGCGGCAAUCUAAGAAUAAAAAACAAAUGCACUUUAGAUGAUCGGUCGAGUAGGGUUUUCGAAAUUGUUUCAUAGUAUUAAUUUGAAAUUCGAAAUUUUUGAGUUGUGACACUUUUGAAGCAAGUGUGCGAUAUGCAUUGAUCGAAAUGGAAAUAUUAUUUAAAUAGGUAAUUAACACUUUCACUGCGGGGCCUCUCGGGCAAGAACUUUGGUUGCGAACGAGCACUUUUCGCGUUAGUUAUGAUAGGUAUGACUCAUGAUAGUUAUGAUAUGCUAUUUCGUACCGACAUACAAAUCCGUUUUUUGCACGUGUCCCGCAAUCAAACAACGAUAUGCGAAUUUUAUUUUUACGUGCUCACUACCGACGUAAUGUACAAAAAAUAUAUUUUUACGUAACCAGACAACAAUGUGUUAAUAUAGAUGAGUUCUUCCUUCUUCCCUUCUUUUCUUCUUGGAAGGAAUAAUUUUCUUCACUUACUGCGUCAUGUUUUCGAGAGGAGAUUUGUCAAUUAUAUGAAAAAUGGACGAAGGUUAUCAAAAAUGAUGGCGAAUAUUUCGAAGAUUAAGAUAUAUAUUCUUUAAAUUAACGUUUAAUUUCUUUAAAAAAGGCACCAAAUUAACUUGUACAGUGGAUAUUGACUAUCCAACUGCCAAUUAUAUCUUUAUAAUUAUGCCGUAAUUGUUUACUUCAUUAAUAAUAAAUUAAAAAUUUCUGAUUAAUUCACGAUCAAUUAAUGGUUCUACGCGUCUCCAAGAUAAAUUACUGUAUUUUAAUUAUUUCUUACAUAACUGUAUCAAGUCGAUUGUCAUAGUGCAAACGUUUAAAAUAAACUAUUAUGUAUGAUAAGAAUUAACGAGUCGCGAUGUUUUUCUUUCGUUUAAGAGAUAUUUUCUCAAGUUUCAACAUGUUACAUGGGUCGGUUUUAUCUGCGCGUUUCAUUCUCUGUGAAAAGAAUUUAUGUUUAUCCUUCAGUAUUUCAUCGCAUUGUAUUCAAGAGGUAUUGUAUACAGUUAAUCUCAAUCUGAUGAAAAUUAAUCAUCAAUUAUUUGAGUCAAUUAUUUAUUAGGCUAUUUCUAGCCUGUCGAUACUUUACCCAUGAAAAAAGGACAGAUUCCAAAACUGCAAUUAUAAACAUUUUGUAUAUACAUAUAUCAAAGUAAUUAUUAUGCCAAAUGUUAUUAUUGACAAUAUUGCGAAAAAUAUUUUUCAAACUGUAUUAAUUAAUCAGAAAAUCGCACGAUGACUUAAUCUUCUGAUACGACACAGAAUUUUUCACUCCUUGACAACGAUAAUCAUCACGUCAUAGUACAGAAAUAUUUUAUAUCGAGAAGUAGCAGACUGUUGCGACAUUGUUCCAUGAAAUAAUGCAAUCUUAUGAUUUCAAGCGAAAUCAAGAAGUCUUUUCAGAGAUUAUUUUUAAACAAUGUGUGAUAACUGUUGUAUAUCACAGUAUGUGUGUCAUUAUAUUAAACGCACACGCGCAAAAACAUUUCGAUGAGUGCUAAUC
Long non-coding RNA from Ooceraea biroi (clonal raider ant), 6833 nucleotides. RefSeq lists it as uncharacterized. Lineage: Eukaryota; Metazoa; Arthropoda; Insecta; Hymenoptera; Formicidae. The record is from RefSeq and is a predicted model, not a curated record.